RNAcentral lists this transfer RNA (74 nucleotides) under Candidatus Gottesmanbacteria bacterium RIFCSPLOWO2_01_FULL_46_9. RNAcentral describes it as "tRNA-Ala". It matches the Rfam family "tRNA". From Rfam's summary of the family: Transfer RNA (tRNA) molecules are approximately 80 nucleotides in length. Their secondary structure includes four short double-helical elements and three loops (D, anti-codon, and T loops). Lineage: Bacteria; Candidatus Gottesmaniibacteriota. The record is from RNAcentral. RNAcentral also lists the same sequence under 1 other name.
GGGCCUAUAGGUAAGUGGUAUACCGCUAUCUUCGCAUGAUAGAGUCGCCAGUUCGAUUCUGGCUAGGUCCACUA